UACGUAGGUCACAAGCGUUGUCCGGAUUUAUUGGGCGUAAAGGGAGCGCAGGCGGUUUGUUAAGUCUGAUGUGAAAGCCCACGGCUCAACCGUGGAACGGCAUUGGAAACUGGCAAACUUGAGUGCAGAAGAGGAAAGUGGAAUUCCAUGUGUAGCGGUGAAAUGCGUAGAGAUCAGGAGGAAUACCGAAGGCGAAGGCAGUCUUCCAAGCCGUUAUUGACGCUCAACUGCGAAGGUGUGGGUAUCAAACAGGAUUAGAUACCCGCGUAGU
This 271-nucleotide ribosomal RNA is filed under the name uncultured prokaryote. RNAcentral's name for it is "partial 16S ribosomal RNA". It matches the Rfam family "Bacterial small subunit ribosomal RNA", at positions 524 to 794 of the family's 1533-position model. The record is from RNAcentral.